UCGAUUGUAGGAUAGAGGCCUACCAUGGUGGUAACGGGUAACGGGGUGUUAGGGCACGACACCGGAGAGGGAGCCUGAGAAACGGCUACCACAUCCAAGGAUGGCAGCAGGCGCGCAAAUUACCCAAUCCCGACACGGGGAGGUAGUGACAAUAAAUAACAAUACGGGGUUCUUUAGGAUCUCGUAAUUGGAAUGAGUACAAUUUAAAUCUCUUAACGAGGAACAAUUGGAGGGCAGGUCUGGUGCCAGCAGCCGCGGUAAUUCCAGCUCCAAUAGCGUAUAUUAAAGUUGUUGCAGUUAAAAAGCUCGUAGUUGAAUUUCGGGGUUAGUAGGUUGGUCAUGCCUCCGGUAUGUACUGAUCUCACUGAUUCCUCCUUCCUUAUGAACCGUAAUGCCAUUAAUUUGGUGUUGCGGGGAAUUUGGACUGUUACUUUGAAAAAAUUAGAGUGUUUAAAGCAGGCUAACGCUUGAAUACAUUAGCAUGGAAUAAUGAAAUAGGACGUUCGAUCUUAUUUUGUUGGUUUCUAGGAUUGACGUAAUGAUUAAUAGGGAUAGUUGGGGGCAUUAGUAUUCAAUUGUCAGAGGUGAAAUUCUUGGAUUUAUUGAAGACUAGCUACUGCGAAAGCAUUUGCCAAGGAUGUUUUCAUUAAUCAAGAACGAAAGUUAGGGGAUCGAAGACGAUCAGAUACCGUCGUAGUCUUAACCAUAAACUAUGCCGACUAGGGAUCGGAUGAUGUUAAUUUUUUAAUGACUCAUUCGGCGCCUUAC
This 768-nucleotide ribosomal RNA is filed under the name uncultured Glomus. RNAcentral's name for it is "SSU rRNA". It matches the Rfam family "Eukaryotic small subunit ribosomal RNA", at positions 322 to 1091 of the family's 1831-position model. The record is from RNAcentral. Lineage: Eukaryota; Fungi; Glomeromycota; Glomeromycetes; Glomerales; Glomeraceae.